This 203-nucleotide long non-coding RNA is filed under the name Lathyrus oleraceus (garden pea). RNAcentral's name for it is "Pisum sativum (pea) long non-coding RNA (PSAT_LNC033105)". The record is from RNAcentral. Lineage: Eukaryota; Viridiplantae; Streptophyta; Magnoliopsida; Fabales; Fabaceae.
GACAGCUAUCAAGGUGGUGGGUCUAAUGAUGGGAACAAUAAUUAGUGAUUGGAUAUCUUGUGGUGUUUUUAUGACUUGUUGUAUUUUAAUUCUGUCUUUUAUCAUCCUUGUUUUAUGUUCUGCAUGACUUAUUUGGUUCUUUGUGUUGCAAUAUUUGGACAUCUUUUGUGUGGUUUAAUGUUCACUUUUCUCUUAGAUUUUAU